GUCGUUAACGAACGAGACCUUAACCUGCUAAAUAGGAACAAGCGACACAUUAGGGCGGAUUAAUACGGAUCAUAUUAAGCGUCGCUUCGUGCGGCGUGGACGUAUGACACCGGUUAUCCGUUCGUCCUUGGCCUACUUCUUAGAGGGACUGCCGGUGUUGCAACCGGAGGAAGUUUGAGGCAAUAACAGGUCUGUGAUGCCCUUAGAUGUUCUGGGCCGCACGCGCGCUACACUGACGGAGCCAGCGAGUACUGGCGCAAGCCUUCCUUAGCCGAAAGGUUCGGGUAAUCUUGGGAAACUCCGUCGUGCUGGGGAUAGUCCUUUGCAAUUAUCGGACUUGAACGAGGAAUUCCUAGUAAGCGCGGUUCAUCAGAUCGCGUUGAUUACGUCCCUGCCCUUUGUACACACCGCCCGUCGCUAGUACCGAUUGAAUGGAUA
Molecule: ribosomal RNA, 438 nt
Filed under: Eukaryota sp.
Lineage: Eukaryota
Description: SSU rRNA
Rfam family: Eukaryotic small subunit ribosomal RNA
Source: RNAcentral